CGCCUAGAUCUUGCUCCCUGAACUUCAGAAAUCUUUUAAGCAGAAGAUGGGCUAUCCUGAUGCCAUUCAGUGGGAGCAAAGCAUCCUGCAGCCUCAGGAUUUGUGGUCAGAGGGAGAAUGGGUUCCCCUUCGUGGUGGACUGGCUGGUCAGAUGGGGUUUGGGUCGGCGUUAAUUCUCGAAGUGGGACAGUCUCUUCCAAUUACUAAUAGGCUCUCCUAGUUCAUGUAUGGAUGAGGUAACAGGCUGGUGUUUCCAGCCAAUUACAUCCAGGUUACAGGAUUUUAUUAUGCACCAGAGGAACCAUUUUCUUUCAAUAAUGCAUAAACCUAUUUGACUGUAAUAUCAGAAGGCGUGAUCCCUAGUACUCACUGCACAAGGCCUGGGCAUAAGUGCUAUCUUUGUAUUCUCCCAGGUCAAGGACUGCUCCUUUCUGGUGUCCUUUAGUUCUUUCUGGUAGAAGCCUCUCCAAAGGGGGUGGGGCCAUGAUUAUGCCCUCCCCCCUACACCAGUCUGCAGGUGCCCACUCCACCUUCUUAAGGGAUGAUACUGUGAGUGCACUUCCCCUGCAGAUCUAGGAGCUGUGACAUGCAAUCCCUCCUAGUACUUAGCAUAGGUCAGGGCAGCUUUGCAGAACCUCUCUGCAGAACAGUUAGCAACUGCCAAAAUUGAGCACUUAAGUUCUCUGUGUUGCUAUCAAACCAUCUUUUAAAUGGGAAUAAUAAUGUCCUUACCUCACAGGAAUACCGAGAGGCAAAGUCACUUAAAAGUUGAAAAGACAUUGAAAUCUCGGCUGUAACAUCCUAUAAAAGUGCAACAAAAAUACUUACUAUUGCAACACUUCUUCACUGAAAUGAUUCUUCCCAAAAUUGCAAGGUCUUCUUCCCCUUUUUCCUUCUUAAAGGAUGCAUACUAAGAACCUAUCAAGACUAGGAAAAUGAGGUAUGCCAUUUGCUGAUGUGAUGCACUUUUAGUUCUUCAGCUGUGGGUUAUAUUGCAGAUAAAAUACAGUUUCAUAGUCCUAACCUGAUCUCCAUUUCUACUUAAGAUCUUUCAGAGUCUGUUAGAAGUUGUCUAGAUUUUUUGAAACUGUGGCAGGACUCCUCUGAGCCUUCAAGAAAAACCCCCUGCAAUGCCGCUGAAAUUCUGUUGACUCAUGAAACCAGACACUGCAUGAGGAGGAGGAGCAUAACCCUGGCUGAUCCCAAUUUAAAAAUAAGGAAGAAUGAGUAUAACUUAAAACUUGGAAAUAUGACUUUAUUUGCCUUCUCUAAAAGAUUAAGAGUCUUUUUGGUAAAGUUGGCAUUAGAGUGAAGAAUGAACAGAAAAGUUAUAAAUACAUGAAAUAACUCAAUCUAGUCUUAAUUAACACCAUGAAAGUAAUUAUUCUUGUGGUCUGAGUGAUGUUUUGUGAUUGAGGAGCUGGGAUGGAAAGGCGGCAAAGCACUUUCCUAGGAACACAGAUAUUGCCAUACGGAAUCAGCCCAAUGAUCUGUGUAAUCCAGAUCCUGUCUCCACAAGUGGCCAGUACUAGCAGUCUACACCAGUCAGAAUAACCUGGAAUAAUAUGGAAUAGCCACAGGGGAAGUUCUUCAUAUCCCCCUAAUAAUUAAAGGUUGACUUAUGCCUGAAGCAUUAGGAUUAUGUCCCACUCUAAACUUCUUAGUGUCUUUUUUUUUUAAAUAAAUAUAGCCUUACUAUUGCAGCUCUGGAUGGUCUUAUUAGCCAUAAGAAUCUCCAGCUGUUUCUGGAACCCUUCUAAGCUUUUGACCUCAAUUAUACCUUAUGACAGUGAGUCCACAAGCUAAUUGUUCACUGCGAGAAGUAUUUCCUCCUAUCAGUUUUAAAUUUGCUACUUUUCAGUUUCACUAAAUGUCCCCAACUCAGUCUGACUCUGCUUAGGCUUCUGGAAAGAUCUCGUUCAAACUGGGUAUGCUCAAAGUCUUACCACAGAGUCACUCCCAUGCUCAAAUUUCAUAACUUUAUUUGCACGGCCACUUUGUCUAAUCCUAGCAACUUGAUAUAUAUCCUUACAGUCUGCCUGCUCCGUAUUUCAACAUCACAUAGUCUUUGCAAAGAGUGUUAUUGGUUUGAAAGAAAAGUUCCAACCCUGCAACUUUACAUGAACUGAAAUGAAUUUCAUAUGUGAUUAUGUCAAUAAAGGAAGCAGAUAUAACAGUUCUAAA
Long non-coding RNA from Gopherus evgoodei (Goodes thornscrub tortoise), 2184 nucleotides. RefSeq lists it as uncharacterized. The record is from RefSeq and is a predicted model, not a curated record. NCBI's taxonomy places the organism in Eukaryota, Metazoa, Chordata, Testudines, Testudinidae. The transcript has 4 exons.